GCGGCUGUAGCACAAUGGCAGUGCGUCUGCUUCCCAAGCAGAUGACGCGGGUUCGAUUCCCGUCAGCCGCUCCA
Molecule: transfer RNA, 74 nt
Filed under: Arthrobacter sp. S39
Lineage: Bacteria; Bacillati; Actinomycetota; Actinomycetes; Micrococcales; Micrococcaceae
Description: tRNA-Gly
Rfam family: tRNA
About the family: Transfer RNA (tRNA) molecules are approximately 80 nucleotides in length. Their secondary structure includes four short double-helical elements and three loops (D, anti-codon, and T loops).
Source: RNAcentral